This is an RNA transcript of Humulus lupulus (European hop), 4375 nucleotides long. It is a transcript of the gene named DNA repair protein REV1, with no coding region annotated. The record is from RefSeq and is a predicted model, not a curated record. Lineage: Eukaryota; Viridiplantae; Streptophyta; Magnoliopsida; Rosales; Cannabaceae. The transcript has 25 exons.
CGAAACAAAAAUUUUGAUUCCUAUUACCAGUUCAUUCCUAUUAGCAUUACCACUAUGUUACUUUUGCCCACCUUCGUUGGCGUCACCCAAAUGAAUAUGGGAUACAGUAUAUAGUUAGGAUAUUCAUAUUUGCCGCUUCAUUUGAAUGACAAGACAAACCUUCAUCAACACUCUAACAAUGAGUUUAGACUCGGUUCGCUCGGCGGGCUCUUCCGGCCAAAAGUCUAAGCGAAGUCUGAAUCCCUCCUGUUCCGAUCUCUCCAGUAACAGUAAGAAGCAGAAGAAAGAGACGAACCAGAAAACCCUAGGUGCUGCUUGGGGCUCCAGUUCUCUCUCUUCCUCUCGCUCUUCAUUCCGUAAAUCCCCCUUCUCCGAUUUCGGCAGCUAUAUGGUAGAAAAGAAUAAGAAACUCCAUAAUCAGUUCAAUGGAGUGGCUUCAAAUUCUUUGAACAGUAGCUCCAGUUCUGAGCAAUCAAUAUUUAGAGGAGUUUCUAUCUUUGUUGAUGGUUUUACCGUUCCCUCCAGUCAGGAACUGCGGGGAUACAUGUUGAAGAAUGGUGGAAGAUAUGAGAACUACUUUUCAAGGCGUCGUGUCACCCAUAUUAUAUGUAGUAAUCUUCCCAGCAGUAAACUAAAAAACCUGAGGUCUUUCAGUGGAGGGCUUCCGGUGGUGAAACCCACUUGGGUUGUAGAUUCUGUUGCAGCUAGCAAACUCUUGAGUUGGGUCCCUUACCAACUGGUCCAGCUUGCUGACAACCAGCCAAGGUUGUCAGCUUUCUUUGCUACUAAACUCUCUGUCGAGGAUUCUUGUCUUGUUAAUUAUGACAAUGAGCUUACAUCUAAUAGAGGAAGUCUACUAACGGAGGAGGAUUAUUUAUCUGAAGUUGGUGAAGAAACUGAAUACAUAAACCAAAAUGGAGGAGAGUCUGAUGAUACUGCACAUCAAAAGAUUCAAACACUAAUCGAGAAACCAACUAUUGGAAGUGAAAAGUCUUUGGAAAUGAAAAUAGCACAUACAUACAACCUUGAUGCAGAAGAUGAUAGCAGUGUGAAAGAUUCUGUUCAAGGGGGUCCUUCUCAGCCCUCUGCCUCACUCAACAAUUACUGCUUAGAGGCUUCACCAAACUCACCAGCUAUUGGGUCUUAUGGGUGUCAUUCAACUCUCACUGAUCCAAAUUUUGUGGAAAAUUAUUUCAAGAGUUCGAGGCUGCACUUUAUAGGAACCUGGAGAAACAGGUACCGUAAGCGUUUUCCUUGCCAGUCUAAAUGGAUCAAGAAUACCAAUUCAAAUCCUUCUUCAGCUGAUUUGCUCAGGACAGCUAUUAUCCACAUUGACAUGGACUGCUUUUUUGUCUCAGUUGUCAUCAGGAAUGAUCAUAAUUUGAAGGAUAAGCCUGUGGCUGUAUCCCAUUCGGACAGUCCCAAAGGAACUGCUGAAAUUUCGUCUGCCAAUUAUCCUGCUCGUGUUUAUGGAGUAAGAGCUGGAAUGUUUGUUAGAGAUGCCAAGGCUCUUUGUCCUCACUUAGUCAUUUGUCCCUAUAAUUUUGAAGCAUAUGAAGAGGUUGCUGAUCAGUUCUAUAACAUAUUGCACAAGCAUUGCAAGAAAGUACAGGCUGUCAGCUGUGAUGAAGCAUUCUUAGAUGUUACAGACUCAGAAGGUAAAGAUCCUGAGAUUUUAGCUUCAACUAUAAGAAAGGAAAUUUUUGAGACAACCGGAUGCACUGCAAGUGCUGGCAUAGCUGGGAAUAUGCUUUUGUCUCGCCUGGCCACCAGAAAUGCUAAGCCAGAUGGCCAGUGUUAUAUUCCUCCAGAGAAGGUGGAUGAUUACUUGCGUCAACUACCAAUUAAGGAACUUCCAGGAAUAGGACAUGUCCUACAAGAGAAGUUGAAAAAGCGAAACGUUCAUACCUGUGCACAGUUAUGUUUAAUCUCUAAGGAAUGUCUUCGAAAGGACUUUGGAGCAAAAACAGGGGAGAUGUUAUGGAACUAUAGUAGGGGAAUAGAUACUAGACUUGUUGGGAUGAUUCAGGAAAGCAAGUCCAUAGGAGCCGAAGUGAAUUGGGGUGUGAGAUUUAAAGAUCCAAAAGAUAGUCAAAACUUCCUUUCAAGCCUUUGCAAGGAGGUCUCAUUGCGCUUGCAAGGAUGUGGAGUGCAGGGCCGCUCAUUUAUCCUUAAAAUUAAAAAGAGGCGAAAAGAUGCAGAAGAGCCUGCAAAGUAUUUGGGUUGUGGAGAUUGUGAAAAUUUGAGCCAUUCCCUUACGGUUCCUGUUGCUACUGAUGAUGUGGAGGUGCUUAAGAGAAUAACAAAGCAGCUAUUUGGGCUGUUCAACAUAGAUGUUAAGGAGAUUAGGGGUAUUGGCUUGCAAGUUUCCAAGCUUGAGAAUGCAGAUUCAUUUAGGCAAGGGUCUGAGAAAAACUCUUUGAAAUCAUGGUUGAAAUCUUCCUCGGUAAGUUCAGAGAAAUGUGAUUAUGUACCAGGCAAGAAGACAUUAGUAGAUUGUGAGGUACUGAGAUCUGAUGGAAUUUGCGGACAGUUAUAUGAAGAGACCCUUGUUACGAAUUCAGUGGAUAGCAAUCCCUCUAAUGGGGAAUCUAGCUUUAACUCAAAUUCAGCACCUCCACCUUUUUCUCAUCUUGAUUUUGGAGUUGUAGGGAAUCUUCCUCCAGAUAUUUUUUCAGAGCUAAAUGAAAUUUAUGGAGGGAAGUUAGUUGAUUUUGUUGCUAAAAGUAACAGCAAAGGCAAAGGAAAAGUGAAUGAGGGAGAACGGCUUCCCCUUCACAAUCUGGUGCAUAAAGACAAAUUAUCAAGUAAAGAUGAGCCACAACCAAUGCCUUCUGUGGGAGGAUUGCAUAAUUUUCCCAGGCCAGAUCUUGAGAAUGCUGAUAUAAUGCCUUCAUCUUUGAGUCAAGUAGAUACAUCGGUGUUACGACAAUUGCCUCAAGAACUGAGAGUUGAUAUACUUGAGCCGCUUCCUGCACACAGGUUACAAGGACUUCCUUUAAAUUCUUCCUUGAGCCCUUAUUCAGAACAUCCAUAUCCACUAAAUUCAUUAAAUAUCAACGAGGCUGAAAAUAAUCUUGAGUCAACUGAUUCUAUGUCAAACAAUGACCUCUGGGUCGGAAGUCCUCCCAAGUGGGUUGAUGAAUUCAGCGAGAACAAUUGUGUAAUAUUGAAUAUACUUGCGGAGAUGUAUUACAAGUCAGGAUCAAGUCGAAAUUUAUCUUCAAUUCUACGAUGUACUACUUUGGAAUUUCAGCAUAUUAUAGAUGCUCCUGGGUAUGAAGGUUGGGAUGAAGCUUUACACAAAUUUUCGGAGGUUGUCAAGCAGUAUGUCAAAUUAAAGAUUGAGAUGGAUAUUGAAGAGAUCUAUAUUUGUUUCCGUCUGAUACAAAGGUAGAGAUGCAUCUUUGUGAUGUUUGGCCUGGUGGUCUGGCCUGUUCUCGUGAGCCCAUGCUGGGUAGCUGGUUAGAACGACCUGACACUACCCAUUAAUUACGUGGUCUGUGGCGGGCUAACUCAUGCAUCUGUUAGUGAAAGCUAUGGAGGAAACUUGCACUUACCCUUUGGUUAGUGCUUGAAUGUGAUGCAUCAACAUCCCAAGUGGAGUUGGAAAGGAUUAAAGCACAAAAAUUUGAAGAAAAUGUGAGGCAACUGAAAAAGACAACAAAGAAAAGUCUGUCAGAUUUAUAAAAAAUGGUGGCUGUUGUGAGAUUGAAACUUGACUAGUUGUCGACAGGAAGCGAAAAUUCUAACAACAAAAGCAACGAUUACUAAUAAUAGAUGGUCAAAGAAUAUAUAUAUAAGAAUUGAAAAAGAGGCGAUGAAUAUGUUGGAUUCCUGCGAAUGUUGUAGCAUCUCUGUGACAACUGGAAGAAAUCAGCAGCUUAAUGAGACACAUGUCAUCUCUGUGACAACUGGAAGAAAUCAGCAGCUUGAUGAGACACAUUUCAUCUCUGUGACAACUGGAAGAAAUCAGCAGCUUAAUGAAACACAUGUUUUGAGGAGUUAGUAAGCCCAACAGUAAGACAAGCUGAAGAGGUGUUGAGGAAAGUGUCAUACUAUCCUUUUGUGCUCACCUAAACAUCUUUGUUGCCCUAGAAAAAAGAUAAAAAGAAUUAAGUAGUCAGCCCCCAAGGAUGUAAGAGGAGAACAAGGAGAGAUGUCAGAAUAAUUAGGAUCAAUUAGGAAUCAAUUAAGUGUAAUUUUAAUUUAAUUACUCAAGAUUUCAGUUUCCUUUUUGGUUGUAAUUCUCUUUUUUUUUUGAGGUUGUAAUUCUCCUUGAUUUAAGGAGAUUUAAGGAAAGUUAGGGUUGUAAUGUGCUAUUUAUACAUCUGUUUUUCAUGAGUAAAAUAAAACAAUAUUCCAUGGCCAUUUA